GGGGCUGUAGCUCAGCUGGGAGAGCGCUUGAAUCGCACUCAAGAGGUCGGGGGUUCGAAUCCCCCAAGCUCCA
This 73-nucleotide transfer RNA is filed under the name Chloroflexota bacterium. RNAcentral's name for it is "Chloroflexi bacterium tRNA-Ala". It matches the Rfam family "tRNA". From Rfam's summary of the family: Transfer RNA (tRNA) molecules are approximately 80 nucleotides in length. Their secondary structure includes four short double-helical elements and three loops (D, anti-codon, and T loops). Lineage: Bacteria; Bacillati; Chloroflexota. The record is from RNAcentral.